UGGGGAAUAUUGCACAAUGGGCGAAAGCCUGAUGCAGCGACGCCGCGUGAGGGAUGACGGCCUUCGGGUUGUAAAACCUCUUUCAGCAGGGAAGAAGCGAAAGUGACGGUACCUGCAGAAGAAGCGCCGGCUAACUACGUGCCAGCAGCCGCGGUAAUACGUAGGGCGCAAGCGUUGUCCGGAAUUAUUGGGCGUAAAGAGCUCGUAGGCGGUUAGUCGCGUCUGCUGUGAAAACUCGAGGCUCAACCUCGGGCUUGCAGUGGGUACGGGCUGACUAGAGUGCGGUAGGGGUGACUGGAAUUCCUGGUGUAGCGGUGGAAUGCGCAGAUAUCAGGAGGAACACCGAUGGCGAAGGCAGGUCACUGGGCCGCAACUGACGCUGAGGAGCGAAAGCAUGGGG
RNAcentral lists this ribosomal RNA (400 nucleotides) under uncultured bacterium. Its description in RNAcentral is "partial 16S ribosomal RNA". It matches the Rfam family "Bacterial small subunit ribosomal RNA", at positions 355 to 766 of the family's 1533-position model. The record is from RNAcentral.